AGAACGAACGCUGGCGGCAUGCCUAAUACAUGCAAGUCGAACGAAUGCCCUUCGGGGUGUUAGUGGCGCACGGGUGCGUAACGCGUGGGAAUCUGCCCUUGGGUUCGGAAUAACAGUUAGAAAUGACUGCUAAUACCGGAUGAUGACGUAAGUCCAAAGAUUUAUCGCCCAGGGAUGAGCCCGCGUAGGAUUAGCUAGUUGGUGGGGUAAAGGCCUACCAAGGCGACGAUCCUUAGCUGGUCUGAGAGGAUGAUCAGCCACACUGGGACUGAGACACGGCCCAGACUCCUACGGGAGGCAGCAGUAGGGAAUAUGGACAAUGGGCGAAAGCCUGAUCCAGCAAUGCCGCGUGAGUGAUGAAGGCCUUAGGGUUGUAAAGCUCUUUUACCCGAGAUGAUAAUGACAGUAUCGGAAGAAGUAAGCCCGGCUAAACUCCGUGCCAGCAGCCGC
This 450-nucleotide ribosomal RNA is filed under the name uncultured soil bacterium. Its description in RNAcentral is "bacterial SSU rRNA". It matches the Rfam family "Bacterial small subunit ribosomal RNA", at positions 26 to 518 of the family's 1533-position model. The record is from RNAcentral.